CCUGGUUCAAGAGGAUCACCUGGUUCAAGAGGUCCCGUAGUAAGUUCUAAUGAACAGAAAAAAACUUUAGCUAAUGUAAUUGUGUAAGGGUCCUUCUGGUGCAACUGGUGGGACUGGAAAACAAGGAGUGUCGGGCCCACGAGGAGUAACAGGAGAUACCGGACCACAAGGUCCAGUAGGUCCUCCAGGUUUGCCUGGUAUUAAAGGAGUCCAAGGAAUAAAGGGAGACAAAGGAUACCAAGGAUCACAAGGUUUAGCAGGUUUGGAUGGCAAACCGGGCCCACCAGGACAUCCAGGACCAGAUGGCCUUACCGGGGGAAAAGGCGUUAAGGGCGUUCGAGGGUUUACAGGUCACAAAGGAGAACAAGGUGGUCAAGGAAUACCAGGACUUACUGU
Long non-coding RNA from Corticium candelabrum, 396 nucleotides. RefSeq lists it as uncharacterized. Lineage: Eukaryota; Metazoa; Porifera; Homoscleromorpha; Homosclerophorida; Plakinidae. The transcript is spliced from 5 exons. The record is from RefSeq and is a predicted model, not a curated record.